ACGGGUGAGUAACACGUGGGCAACCUGCCCCUAGCACUGGGAUAACCCCGGGAAACCGGGGCUAAUACCGGAUACGACUCCGGAGGGCAUCCUCCGGCGUGGAAAGAUUUAUCGGCUAGGGAUGGGCCCGCGGCCUAUCAGCUUGUUGGUGGGGUAACGGCCUACCAAGGCGACGACGGGUAGCCGGCCUGAGAGGGCGACCGGCCACACUGGGACUGAGACACGGCCCAGACUCCUACGGGAGGCAGCAGUGGGGAAUAUUGCACAAUGGGCGAAAGCCUGAUGCAGCGACGCCGCGUGAGGGAUGACGGCCUUCGGGUUGUAAACCUCUUUCAGCUCCGACGAAGCGAAAGUGACGGUAGGAGCAGAAGAAGCACCGGCCAACUACGUGCCAGCAGCCGCGGUAAUACGUAGGGUGCAAGCGUUGUCCGGAAUUAUUGGGCGUAAAGAGCUCGUAGGCGGCUUGUCACGUCGGCUGUGAAAACCUGGGGCUCAACCCCGGGCCUGCAGCCGAUACGGGCAAGCUAGAAUUCGGUAGGGGAGACUGGAAUUCCUGGUGUAGCGGUGAAAUGCGCAGA
Molecule: ribosomal RNA, 578 nt
Filed under: uncultured bacterium
Lineage: Bacteria
Description: bacterial SSU rRNA
Rfam family: Bacterial small subunit ribosomal RNA
Source: RNAcentral